AUCAAGGUCGCUACACACGGUGGAAAUCUCUCGGUCUCUCUCCCAACGCGAGAGGCGGUUUCCAGGCGGGCUGCCUCCACUGGUCUCCAUCGCCUCCGGUAAGCCGUCGGGCUCUCGGAGGUGUGCGGGACAGUGUACGACCGCGAGGCGGUUGUAGAUAAUGUUGUUUUAGAAUUUUAUUCUGGCACUGGCGGGCAGGUAGGGGCGACGUCAACGCUGUGGGAUAAGGUUCCCCCUGGCUCCUUUCCCGUCUCCGCGGUGAUCCCUCCGGCCGGUGGCACUGCGGGGUUAGGGAGGUUGGCCUCUCUCUUAUCCGGCGAGGUUUGGUCGGUGAUGGGGGUGCACAAUAGUAUAGAAGUUGGGAUUUGUGGAGAGGGAUUCCCAGAUCAGGUCGCCUCGGACGGCCGACAGCUGCGCACUGUUGCGGGCGAAGUGGUUUGAGUUGCGGCUCCACUCCGUCAUAGGCUGCCGCUGGUCAAGGGAUCACUUGGUCUACCCCAGGCCGAUGCACCAGAACCCUCCCUGGUUCCGUCUUUUGGGGAGGGACUUAUAUGCGGCUCACAAAGCCAUGGAUUGGCGAUGCUGCUCCUCAUGCCCGUUGUCUUGUGGAUGACGGCUAGCACCGGCGAGUGCAGAGAUCAGCGUGCCUGGGUGAAUAAGGAAGAUGAACUGGGCUGUAAGUUACUUUGUUUUCUCUGUCGGCGUUAUUCCCUUUAGUGUUAUCUCUGCCUCUCUAGUUCUCAACCUCCAACGACAUGCCCUUUUUUGUGCUGGCCAUGGAGGCUAGCAGCGGCAGGACUGCCAUGACUAGGCCGCGCAAUAUUUCUAACAGUGUUGAGCUACUCGUUCCCGACAGCUCCGGUGCCAAGCUGCCAAGCAGGUAUGUGUGUGAUGGAUCUUUUAAUUUUAAGUUUGCUUCCUGUUCGAUUAGGUGCAUAUUUCGCAAGAUAAUGUUGUUCUAUCAUGUCUCUGAUUUUGAUUUCGAUUUUGAUUUUUCCUGCAGAUUUCAGGAUAUAGAAGGCAGCUUCAGGAAGGGGUCGCUGACGAGGUGAGACCAUUGCGUCUAUUCUUGUGUUAGUUUGUUUCAAAGAAAUCACACUAAUUUCUCUCAGUAUACUCUGCAGAGAAAUAAGUACUGAAGCAGGCUUCACCGAAGACUACUGAUCUAGAAUUGUUUGUUGCUGAAAUAAGUCCAGGAGCGGUGGAGCAGGCUGAACAAUUUUCUGUUGAUUUUACUGAAUGGAUUGUCCCUGUAAUUUGACCAAACGUCAUGUCGCCGUGCCACUGAAGUUUUUGCACAGAAUUCUUGUCUUUUUGGGUGGUGCCAAGCUGUCUUUUUGUUGAACAAUGCCACAAUUGCAUAGUUGUAAGUUAUUUAGGAUUGUCUCUAUUGCAUACGACCUGGAGUUACAAGAGGUCCAGUACUAAUUUUGUGUAUGUAUGUACAUGUGCAGUCACCCAUUUUCUAUACACAAGAUUCCAAAGCAUCUUUUACUGUACAUUUUGUUUCUUUUCUCGGUACAAAAUGUAUUGCAAGUGUUGUUCAUUUUUUCCCUUCUCUAAAUAUACUAGAGACCCUCUAAGGGCUCAGUUUUCUUCCCGUUUGUCUGAAUAUACCCAGAUUUAUUUUGUGUGUGCGUAUUUAACAAAGCAUUUAGUUA
RNAcentral lists this long non-coding RNA (1661 nucleotides) under Triticum aestivum (bread wheat). RNAcentral's name for it is "long non-coding RNA (TAES_LNC022513)". The record is from RNAcentral. Lineage: Eukaryota; Viridiplantae; Streptophyta; Magnoliopsida; Poales; Poaceae.